RNAcentral lists this long non-coding RNA (1163 nucleotides) under Carassius auratus (goldfish). RNAcentral's name for it is "lncRNA (ENSCARG00000029566.1)". The record is from RNAcentral. Lineage: Eukaryota; Metazoa; Chordata; Actinopteri; Cypriniformes; Cyprinidae.
GGCUGCUUGAGGCUGGCUGCAGAAGGGAGUCAAUCCCAUAGACUCCCCAUGUUAAAAUGCCCAACUUUAAAGCAGGAAAAAACAUGUUUACAGCCUGGUGUAAGAAAUUAUUUUGGUCUAUAUAGCUAAUUUUACCCUUCGUGACAAAUUUGAGGGGGUGAUUUUUUUUUUAUAACUCAUCCUGAUUGUAGCAGGAAGGGUUAUUACCCCUCCUUCAUCAUCGUUUAGUGUUUAGCCAAUGGCUAGGCGUCCAGGGUGUAUAAGAGCAUGAGCUACCAGUUCCUUGGCAUGCGUCAUUAUCCGGGGCUGUGACGUCAUCCAUGCGCCCUGUUACUUUCUGUUUGGAGUUAGCGUAAAAUGUGCUGCUUGUAAAACUUGCCCAAGCUGUUUAUCCACUGGCGGGUCUAUGUGCUUGUUUGGAGAGUUGAAUGUGGACACUUGAGACAGGGCCUGGGCACCCGGGGGCAGACGUGUGACCAAUUAGGUGGUAGGGUCUUCACUGUAGUGGUCUUCUCUGACAUGAGUCGUGGAGUGUGUGCUGUGCUGGUGUGUGUGCACUGAAUGGGGUGCUCUUCAUAGAGGUGAUAUCUUGAGACUGCCCUUGGGUAUGCCCAGGAUCCUCUGCAGCCAACGUUAGAAAUUAAUAAAUUGAAGAGUGAUUGCUGGUCAACACCUUUUAUACAAAAGGACUGUCUUUUUAACAAUUAAUAAAUUGUAUGUUUUUUUCAAUCACCUAUGUCUCUGACUCCAACUGUGGUUAAGGAUCUGUGUGUGCCUUAGCUUAGGGGUUAUAUUAAAUUCUUUGGGCGAAAUUCCCCAAGUGGCGUAGUCGGAAAUAAUUAACUGAAUUGAGCGUGGGUAUAGAUCGUUCCGCCCAAUGUCAUAAAAUAGAACCGUCACUCCCGAGCGCUUUGCCACAUUAUUAAUUAUAUUAAGCCUUAAAUUUCUGCAUAAUUAUUGGGGUGGCCACUUGAGUGAAGGGUGGAUUGCCGCUGCUGACAGUGCUGUUGUGCUAGGUGGGUGGGCUUCAGCAACAAGCUCCCACCUUUUUGCCCAUUUUUGAUUACCCCGGAGUGACGUGCGUUGUUGCGCUACCCACUUUUGGUUUCAUAAACUCUCUUUGGAAACCUAUGGGUGACGUCAUGGACACUACAUCCAUGUUU